AGAAUCAACGCUGGCGGCGUGCCUAACACAUGCAAGUCGAACGCGAAAGUCCCGAAAGGGAUUAGUAGAGUGGCAAACGGGUGAGUAACACGUGGGUGACCUGCCUUCGAGUGGGGGAUAACGUCCCGAAAGGGACGCUAAUACCGCAUAACAUCCUGCCUUUGAAAAGGCGGUGAUCAAAGCUGGGGACCGCAAGGCCUAGCGCUGGAAGAGGGGCCCGCGCCUGAUUAGCUAGUUGGUGAGGUAACGGCUCACCAAGGCGACGAUCAGUA
Molecule: ribosomal RNA, 272 nt
Filed under: uncultured bacterium
Lineage: Bacteria
Description: partial small subunit ribosomal RNA
Rfam family: Bacterial small subunit ribosomal RNA
Source: RNAcentral